GCGCCCAGCGCAGCAGUGCAUAUCUGGUGAUACCGUGUGUGGCAUGAUCCCCUGAUACGAGACCUUGUUGGCCGUUCGAUCUGGAGUGAAGGCACAGGAUGGGCAGGCUCAGUUCGCAUUGCAAUUUAUGCAAAAGACACCCUGGGUUAUUCCGUGAUUCAGCUGAAGUGCACACCGCUCUGUUCUGUUUUCCUCUUCUUCAAUACGAAAUUUUCCCCACCGCCGCCGCCUAGGUCAUAUCCUACCGCCGCCGGCCACCACGGAGCAUGCCCCAUCCGCUGCUGGACGCCCCAAUCAAGAGCAACCUAGAGGGCUAUUGCGCGUGCGCCGAAUAGUUUGCUCAGAGCCGACAGAAGCUGUUGGCAUCCCCAUGGGAGCGGAGACGAACCUCUCGUCGCCGCAGCUAAAUCCGACCAAGUCGCGGGAGUCGGUGACCCUACUCAACGACGAUCAGAACUGGAUGUCGGCGCUGCGGGAGAGGAAAAUCAAUUCUCUAAUUGAACUGGAUGUCGAAACUGGCCUUAUUAUCUGUUCAAUUCAGAUGGACAUAUACACGUAAUCUUUCUUACAAAGUGUCAUAGAAUGUCUCCUACAUACAGUAGUUGAAAACCUCUACAGCCUAGCAUAAGUGAGCAUUUAGAGUAAUUGACUAAAAUUCAUGCCAAAUGAGGCUCAAUAAUGCUUGACUAACAGAAAAUCCCAGUAGAACUCUAGGUCAGGCUGGGACCUCCCAGUAUUGAAAAUCUAUGUACUUGUUCUCACUUUGCAGCAGCUGGAAUUAGGAAAGUUUCAUGAAUCAAAAUUACUUUAUCACAGUGUAAUAAGCUGACUUGCUGGCCAAAUAAACUGGCCUGCUAAUCAAAAUAGUGUCUUCUUUGACUAUCCACAAAUAUUAUGGGUAAAAUAAGAUGUAAGCAUUGUUUAGUUCUCUAACAAGAGAACAAUGACAUGGAGGGCGAGUAACAGACCUUUCGUACUCGGCACUCUGAACUCAGUACAUGUGUGAUUGUCGACUGCUACUUUCUUGAUUAACUACAUAGCAAAAGUGUAACACUUGGUUGCACGUUCUUACCAUUUCAAAUGUGUAUGCCGCUGCUGUAUGUAGCGUCAGAUGCUUGUUAUAGACAAUUGGCGGCAUAGUUAAGCUUCACUUUUUUGCAUGUUCCAGUAGUGUUACUAGGAAUCAAAACAAAUGUUUACCAAUUUCAUAUGCACCAAAAAGUCAUUAAUGGAGCCGACGGAGAGCACUGGUCAGAGUGUAGGAUCGACUACUCCAAUUGCACUUGAAGAUGACGCCAAUAGCAGUUUCAUGGAUGCAAAUCAGUCGGCUUCAUGUGGUGGAGAUAGUUAAAGUACACCAAGGAAAACAAGGUUCAGUAUACGUGGCUGAGUGUGACAAAAGCUUGAGCCGGCAAUUGGCAUGGUCGUUGAUAAAUGGGAGACUGGCGAGAUGUUCUACACACGGUGAGAUGUUCUACACAUGAUCAGGAGAAUUAGAUGGCGCAACAGACAUGCAGAUGUGCAUUUCUGCCAGCAUAGGAUGGCGUACAAGGAGAAUAUGAAGUCACCAAGUGAUCUGUAGUGAAGCUGUUUGGUUUAAUUAUAUAAAUUAGUGAACUAAAUAAUACGCUUGUAAAUAUAUGUAUAUUAAGGUCAUGUUAAUUCCUAUAUCAAGAUGGCAGCAUAUGAUGCACCUUUAUUUGGUGAA
Long non-coding RNA from Triticum dicoccoides, 1708 nucleotides. RefSeq lists it as uncharacterized. The record is from RefSeq and is a predicted model, not a curated record. The transcript has 5 exons. Lineage: Eukaryota; Viridiplantae; Streptophyta; Magnoliopsida; Poales; Poaceae.